This 439-nucleotide ribosomal RNA is filed under the name Eubranchus sp. 'Amphorina' 1 TK-2019. Its description in RNAcentral is "partial large subunit ribosomal RNA". It matches the Rfam family "Bacterial large subunit ribosomal RNA", at positions 1829 to 2597 of the family's 2925-position model. RNAcentral also lists the same sequence under 1 other name. The record is from RNAcentral. Lineage: Eukaryota; Metazoa; Mollusca; Gastropoda; Nudibranchia; Eubranchidae.
AGCCAGAGGAAGAUAUUUUUGGUUUAACCUGCCCAAUGUAUUAUUGUAUGAAUGGCCGCGGUACCCUGACCGUGCUAAGGUAGCGUAAUCAGUUGGCUUUUAAAUGGAGUCAGGUAUGAAUGGGAUAACCGGGCUUAGCUGUCUCAAAGACAUUUAUUUGAAUUUACUGUUCAAGUGAAAAAGCUUGACGUAAGAAAAGGGACGAGAAGACCCUUAGAAUUUUGUUUAAAGAGGAUUAUCUCCUCUAUGAUUUUGUUGGGGCGACAGAGAAAUAAUUAAAACUUUCUUUAAAUUAAUCAGUCGGAAUUUUCAGGUUAGGAUAAAUUACCUGAGGGAUAACAGCAUAAUUUUAUAAAUAAGUUUGUGACCUCGAUGUUGGACUAGGAAGCUAAUGGGUUAGCUGCUCAUUGUGCGGAUUCUGUUCGAAUUUUAACUCCUA